CCUGUUCGUCCUCCACCUCCCCAGCCACCUGGGGAGGGAUCCUGGCAGAGGGCCACCCAGUGCCACCUGUCAGCAGCGUUUCCUGCAGCCGGGGGCUCUCAGGGCCACCCCUGUUGCUGACAGCAGGACACAGACCCCUGAAACAAGCUUUUCCAGGGAAAAGAGGGGUCUUUUCUGUGCAGCCCAGGCUUGCUCAGCGGCAGAAUCUGGCAAGGGCCAUCCCGCUGCAGCGAGUUCAAGACUGACUCCCCUGGGCCCAGAGGCCCAGGUUCAAGACUGACUCCCCUGGCCUCUGGGCCCCCUUCAGCAAAGGCUGGGAAGGGAAGUUCAGUUGCCCGAAGUGUGACUCCCCUUUUCUCCCUGUGCUCGUUCCAGCUAAGGCCACGAACAGGGUGUUGGAGACAGACGACCCUGAGAGCUUGUGUGAGGGGCUGAGUGCUCGCAGCGAUGCAUCUCAGCAGCUCCAGACCUCCAUCAAAAUCGCAGAGGUAAGGAGUGACCUCAAGCUUGCCUUAUGUUCUGAAGAGCUGGAGCGGAGCCGUGACGGGAUCUCUCCUGGUUCUUGCAUCUUUCCAGAUCGUUUGCAAAAACUUCCCCAAAGAACAGGCCGCACACUUCAUGAAUGCCAUCCUGGGGCCCUUCCGGCAUGCCAGAGGAAGCCGCGUGCGUGCUGCAGGCAACUGGAUGCUCACCUUUCUGGAAACGUGUGGCAAGGACAUUGGUCCAGACGUGCAAGGAAUCGUCUCCGCCCUGCACACCUGCACAGAGUCCAUGCUGGAGCCCUCGUUCGUGUACUUCGUGCACCAUGCGGUGCUGAUCCUGGCCCGCUAUCACCGGGAGCUCACGCUGAACAUCAUCCUUGAGAAGUUUGUGCCUAUGGACAGGUACAUGCGCUACUUCCUUUCCUGCUGGGCUCAGAGAGCCGUAGCUUGCCUCCCCUCCCCUAGGGCGAUCCAAGGGAAGCAGCGUCUCCUUCUCCUCCACCCAAAUGACGGAGGUGUGCUGGUACCGCUGGGAGGAAGCAGGCAUCUUCAGCCCGGCUGCUGAAGAAGCGCGAGGUGAAGGCAUCCCAGGUCCCAGAGCAUACGGGCUCAUGGUUGCACAUCUCUUGGCAGAAACACACUGGAGCUGUGGAGGACUCUGGGGAGAGCCAGCAUUGGCCUCGGUGUGCUGAAGCGCUUAGCGAGGAAGCUGAACAGAGUGGG
This 1205-nucleotide long non-coding RNA is filed under the name Anas platyrhynchos platyrhynchos (common mallard). Its description in RNAcentral is "lncRNA (ENSAPLG00000017711.1)". The record is from RNAcentral. Lineage: Eukaryota; Metazoa; Chordata; Aves; Anseriformes; Anatidae.